RNAcentral lists this unclassified non-coding RNA (661 nucleotides) under Hevea brasiliensis (rubber tree). Lineage: Eukaryota; Viridiplantae; Streptophyta; Magnoliopsida; Malpighiales; Euphorbiaceae. The record is from RNAcentral.
AAUUGAAUAACAUAUAUAUAUAUAUGAUUAUGUCAAAUCCCAAUCCAUCUUCAUCUACUAAUCUAAAUCCCAAUAAUUUCAACCUCGUAGCAACAGUAGAGGAUUGCACGAAGAAACCCUCCUUGCUUGUUCCGGGUAGCAAUUCACCCACCCAAAAUCUCAACUAAAGGAUGAACUUCCCAGCACAGGAACAGAAUAUUGAUUUCUCGAGUAAAACCCUUGUGUCGAGUAUGAUAAAAUUACUGCUGAACCAAAUAUUGAUUUACCUUAAUGACCAAAAAUGUACAUCCUUAACAUACUAAACGGUAGACUGAUGCACACAUUUGUAUUUUACCAGAUGAAAAAGAAAAUUAGUAGCAAGCAUACAUUCAAUGAUCCAGGCCGAGCUAUAUCCUUUGCACGAGCAGAACCUAAAAACUCACCAACUAGAGGUAACAAGUAAAGAUGAUUGUGGUUCUGCUUUGAUUUAACCUACAAUGCAAGGGUGACAACAAAGGCCCAAACCAAAAAAAUUUGCUCAUCCCUAUUCUCUUGAUUAAGACCAUCAUGCACAGAUUAGGAUGGUGAAACGCCGCAGCAAGAUUCAACAUCUCAACAUAGGUAGUACGUUUCCUUAGAGAACUCCUUGCACAGCUGGCUCGGAGAGAGAGAGAGAGAGAGA